UGCAACUGCCUUCUGACUGGUCUCCUUGC
This 29-nucleotide non-coding RNA is filed under the name Homo sapiens (human). Lineage: Eukaryota; Metazoa; Chordata; Mammalia; Primates; Hominidae. The record is from RNAcentral.